This is a long non-coding RNA of Astatotilapia calliptera (eastern happy), 784 nucleotides long. The record is from Ensembl. NCBI's taxonomy places the organism in Eukaryota, Metazoa, Chordata, Actinopteri, Cichliformes, Cichlidae.
GUGGAACGAUAUUAUUUGGAGAUGGAACUAAAGUGCAAAUAGAAACCAGCAUUUGCUCUCUGAUGGCCAGUAUAGUUAUUUUUCUGCUGUGCGCUGUCUUCGUUCUCAUUGUUACUGCUGUCCUCACUUAUUCGAUCAGAAAAAACAGCAGUAAUCAUUGCAAAGGCGCUGUCCUGCAGAAAAAUUGUAGCGAUCAGAAAAGACAAAAGAAUAAGGACACGUCUAUGUUUUCUGCUGUUGUCUUUACAAUGAUGAAGGCUGACAGAGGGAAAAUAGAGGAUGCAAAAGCAGUUGAGAAGCAGAUCUACAUGGCCAAGUCUUUUGGAUUGGAUUAGUUCUAUUUACCCACCUUAUGAAAUUAUCUACCGGAUGUUUCUUUCUUUAUACAUCAUGUCGUCAUGAUUCAUGUCACUGCCUAUCAUAGCAGUGGGUUUAAAUGUAUUGAGAUUAACUGCAUUUUAAUAUAGAUGUGCACACAUGCAUACGCCUCAGUAUAAUCCCUGACCUGCAACACUGUCAGUCUAGUCUGGUUGGGAACAUUUGUUGCUUUUCUUGGUCGUUUUUCUCUCUGUCCAACUUUAAAAAAUGUGAAAAUAGUAGAUUUUUUGUUGUUUAUGAUUUUUUUAUUGUUUAACCAAGCUUCCUGUUGAUAUUCCCAUUGAUGAUCGGCUUACAUUUAUGCAGUUUUAUUACUUGGCUUAAUUUGAUUUUGUAUUGUUACUAACUGUACUUUAAUGAUCUGUUAUAGAACUAAAGAUGGACAAGAUGAUGUAUUCAAUCAGAG